Long non-coding RNA from Notolabrus celidotus (New Zealand spotty), 788 nucleotides. RefSeq lists it as uncharacterized. NCBI's taxonomy places the organism in Eukaryota, Metazoa, Chordata, Actinopteri, Labriformes, Labridae. The transcript has 2 exons. The record is from RefSeq and is a predicted model, not a curated record.
GCAUUUGUGGAAGUUGCAUGAAGUGCAACAACAAGUACGAGGCCAAGAAGUAUGUUUCCAAGGUAACGCCUGAGCAGAAGAUCAAGCUCACCUGGCCAUCAGUGACCUCGAGGGGGCGGGCAGAUGCUGCAAUUGAACGCAAGAAUGAAUCAGAGAUAGGGGCGGUGCUCUCCAGAUGCCCGCCUCCGACCACUCGUUGAUUGACAGGUUGAACAGAGCCAGAAACUCCAUCCACCAAAAGUGUAAUUACUGAACUCCUGCUUUGAAACUCAGGUCCACAAACCCCGCCCCCUUCAUCAUCAUUAUUAGUCCUGUCUCUAAACCCCGCCCCCUUCGUCGUCAUUAUUAGUCCUGUCUCUAAACCCCGCCCCCUUCAUCGUCAUUAUUAGUCCUGUCUCUAAACCCCGCCACAGCAGCACGGUGCUCUUUCAACACACACAGUUGUUCCUGCGUCCCAGCUGUUCAUCAUACAAACAGGAAAUGAUAAGAUUAAAAAAACGUGUAAGGUUUGGUGUUUGUUUCAACCAUUUCCUGCUGUUGCUGCUUCACAAUAAAAGCUUUCCAUCACUGGGUCUUUGUUUCUGAAGUUAGAUUUAGAAAGUGUUUGUUGUUUGUUGUUUGUGUUCUUUCCCGGUCCUCGGGUCCUGCUGUAGUCAUGGAGAGGCUGAGCAGUAUUCUGAUGUAUUCAGACAGACUUUGUCCCUGUUCUCGGGUCCACAGUGUUUUAUUGUUUAUACAAUAUACUGUAAGCGAGCUCCAGAUUUAAUAAAGAUAAAUACUUCAAAUUA